ACAUGCAUACAGCGCACCGCUGCCACGGCCACGGACCGGUCGUCCUCGAACGCAUACUUGUUUUUUCACAACAUGACAUCUGUUGAUUACAAACCGCUCUCGAUAACCUUGUCCUUGAUUAAGCCAAAAUAUAGCUCUUCUCGACAUUGUUUUUGUUUUGGAUCACGUUUUACUGUUUAAGUGUUUCUAUCUUCUGAAGUUCUCUUACGCGUUAUUAUUGACAUUUUUAAUUACGAGUUAAAACUACGAGAGGUUCAUCUUCUUCAGCUGGUACCGGUAGUGGUCGUGCCGUAUUCGUUCACUGUCUGUGGUCACUCGCUCCCGGGCGCGGCCGUCCCAGCAGAGCCAGCCAAGCAGUUCGAGCGAAAGCGACGAGUAAAGGGACAUGAACUCGGAGUCCACACUUUGUUUCUUCAAGUCAACGGGCAACUUGCUCAAUGGAAGAGGACUGGGGAAGUGUACAACAGGCCUGUCGUUUCCGUCCGGCUAAACAAAGAGAUGAUGGAGAACUCAGAAGUACCACAACUGAAUUGGGAAGGACAGUGAGAAGUCUCUGGAAGACAGGAGAUGUGUGUGUAUUCGAGUUUUGUCAGACGUGUAUCAAUCAGAUAUGAUUAUAUACGUCUGGGACCGACCUUUAACAUCACAAUCUGAAAGACGUGACCAGGGCUCGAACCUCUGCAUCAAUUUGUAACUUCCCCACAGCUUGGAUUACAGGCGCAAGCCACAACGCCCAGGACAGGAGAGCUGUCACAGAUUAUUUUACAAAUUUGUUAACCCGGGUACAUAGUUACAUACAUGUUGUUUACAUAAUUUUGAACAUGCACCACAGGCCACAAGUUAAAGGACAAGUUCAUCCCUACAAAAAGUUGAUUUGAAUAAAACAAGAAAAA
Lytechinus pictus (painted urchin) is the source of this 893-nucleotide long non-coding RNA. RefSeq lists it as uncharacterized. The record is from RefSeq and is a predicted model, not a curated record. The transcript is spliced from 2 exons. Lineage: Eukaryota; Metazoa; Echinodermata; Echinoidea; Temnopleuroida; Toxopneustidae.